Molecule: long non-coding RNA, 3342 nt
Organism: Nematostella vectensis (starlet sea anemone)
Lineage: Eukaryota; Metazoa; Cnidaria; Anthozoa; Actiniaria; Edwardsiidae
Exons: 4
Source: RefSeq, a predicted model, not a curated record
AUUGUCUUUUGCUUGUGUUCAAACAGUAACCAGUCCAAUAAACCAUAAUCAGUAUCAUGGUAAGCAAAUUUUUUACGAUCUUUGCAACUUGGCAACAUUGUCUUUUGCUUGCGUUUAUACAGUAAUCCAUCCCAUUAAACCAUAACCAGUGUCGUGGUAAGGAAAUAUAUUCCACCAUAAACUUGUGAACAAUUGUUUUGUUUGUAGUUGUAAAUGUAGGAGAUUAUUUACAUUAUAUUUACUACAUAAACAAGAAAUAUUGUAGCUCAAUGUAAAAAUGUGGUAGAUGGUGUUUUAGGUACUUAGAAUACAAACUGGGUCAUCCCUUCAUUAGUGUUGAUUAAUCUUAUUUUCAUUGUGUGUUAUGUUGUCAGCUUCGGUAGUAUAGUUUUGUGAUCUGUAAUUUUUGGGGUUUGGGACAACAAUGUGCUUUGCCUUUGAAAAUACGUUUCAGCCUGAGCAUUGGUAGUGGUGACUUGGUUAGGAGGAGUUAAUAUAAAGGUCUGAAGGUUUCUACUAGAGGUAUCCACAUCCACUGAAAGCAUCACUGCAGUUUGCCACACUACAUGCACAGCUUGCUUCUAGUCAUGCAGACAGCACCAGUCUCGCUAUUUUACUUGGCAGAGAAACAUCUCUAGGCAACAGACACCUCGUGGUCCGUACACCAAGCUUACACCAGGUCUGGCAGAUGAGGACAACUAGCCUACCCACCUCUCUUCAGGACAUACCCGGGACAUCUAGGCAAACAACCUUCCCCCAGGCUGUGCAGAUAGGGAUAUCACACUGUGUCUUUGUUGGACGAUACAUCUAUGCAGUCCACCUUCUCCUCAGGUCAUGCAGGCAGAUGGCAGCACCUAGGCUUCCCCCAGCUCACUUCAUGGUCAUUUAGAGGACCGCUAGGCUAUCAAGUUGAUGGGAACAUCUAGGCAACCCACCUCCACAACUAGGCUAUCCACCUGCCCCACUGCAUAUAUUGGCUGCUGUUUAGGAAAGGGCUGCUGUGUCUUGGUUGUCAAGUCCAUCUGUAGGCAUUGCUUCUGUGAGUGUACCCAAUACCUUUCUUGCCAAGGGCUCCCAGUCAAAGGAUUUCACCAUGUUUGGUUUGGCUUCCCAUGCUAUCAGAAUACUGUUUCUCUGGCUACCUGUGCGACCUACUCACCAUGCCUGCUAAUGUGUUUCUGGUAAUGUAGCAUCACUGUUUUCAUUUAAGCCACUAAUCUCAUAAUUAAACAUGAGUUUAUUUUUUUUGGGGGGGGGGGAAUGGAUGUGUUUUGCUAUUUUGCAGUGUAAGUUUUGAAUAUUGCCAGCUAAGCACCUGCCAUACACCCUGUGCAGAUGGGGACAUCACAGACGAUGACAUCUAGGCUAGCCACCUCUCCAGGACUACAGACAGGGAUCUCUGGGCUACCCAGUUGACACCAUGUCAGAUAGAUGGGGACAUAGAGACAAUCCACCUCUCCUCAAAACAUACAGAUUGCUGCUUCUAGACUACCCAGCUCUUGGGGUCAUGCACACAGUAUCCUCUAGUCUACCAAGCUUACUUCAGGUCCCGCAGACAGCACUAUCUAGGCUCUACCUGGGUAUGGUAGAUGGUCCACCUCUCCUCUCACGUUAUGCGAACGUCAUCUAGGCUACCCCCAGCACACGCCAGGUCAUGCAGAUGGACCUCUAGGCUAUCAAGUUGACAGGGACAUCUAGGGAACCCACCUUCAGAUCACACAGAACUUCUUGCCAAUCUACCUUGCCCGUGAGCAGUGCUUCCCUGUGAGUGCACCCAAUCCCUUUCUUGCUGAGGGUUCCCAAUCUCCAAAGGAUUUCAACAGUGCAGAGUGGCUUCCCAUGCUGUCAGAAUACUGUUUCUCUGGUUAACCUGUUCAACAUGUUCUUCACCAUGCCUGCUAAUUUUUCUCCGGUAAUAUGUAACCAACUGUUUUCUAAUUCCAUUCAACGUGGGUUUUUUUGGGGGGAUGCAUGUGUUUGCUCUUUUGCAGUGUAAGUUUUGGACACUGGCAGCUAAGCACCUACCCAUUUAUCUUGCACAAUUACCCGACCUAGUUGAUGGUGUACCCCUUGGUAUUACUGGGAGGGAGUCCUGUUCAACUCUGGGUUGCAGUCUUGAGAUGCCCCUGCUGAGAGGUUUUCCAGUGUCCAUCAGCUUGUUGUGGUGUUAAAGGAAUCAUCCCCUGAUCCCCCCUGAUGGAGGUGUUCAGCUCAUCUGUGUGCAGCGUACUAAAGCUUGUCAGCCAUACCAGUGGAUGUGUUGUGAUUGUCCUGUGGUCUUCAGUGUACCUGUCAGGUCGAUUUCUACUGUUAAAGGUCAUCUCUGGAUGGAGGCCCCCCUUGGUGUUAUCUGUGGUUCAUUUCAGAGUGCAAAGAUAACCUACAACAACAUGGACAGUAUAUUGGAUAGAGACAAUUCCUUGGCUGUUAAAAGAUUACGGUUUCAGUAUGUACUUUUCCUUGAUCAUUGAAGAAGCAUAGUUAAGGAUGAUGUAGAUUAGACAAUGCGUUUUGUUAUGUGCCUAAUUGCAUGUUCAUAACAUAAGCACAUAUGCAGCAAGUGCAAAUGGUUGAGUGCUCUUCCUAGGUCAGAUACAGUAUCUAUUGUGUUAGGAUGCAUGUAGUGUAUUGUUGGUAGGAGUAGGUGUUCCGUAGGUUUCCUCUGAAUCGUACGAGAUGAGAUGAUGCUCAUGGAGAACUAACAGAAAGGUCCAGGCUGUGAGGUUGGGUGGCAUGUAGAGAUGGGAGGAAAGGUUGAUGUUGCAUUUUGUUAGAAGUGGAAAGAAUUGAUGUUUGAGUAAUCGCCAACUCCCAAGAAGGACUGCUUUUAUUAUUGCUACUGAAACUAGAACAGAAUACAACAAUUCAGUCACCUACAAAAUUCUAUAUCACAAACUACAGCACACGCCUGGGUGCACCCGCUGUCCUGCAUUGGGCCAGGCCUACGUUUCCAGGUGGUUUUUCCCACGAAAAUAUUUUGAAGAGGGUUUUCCAUCUGGUUUUUCGUAGCCGGCAGACAGCUCUAAACAGACAUUGGUCAUACCACAAACUAGUUGCAUUAAAACGGUUCACAUACUACUGUUGUAAAACCGAGACAUGAUAACAUACUAAAUCAGAACAACUGUUACCAAUACACGUGCAGUUUACACCAAGUUUUAAUUAACAGCCAGCUUUUUCUUUGUAUUAAAGCAAUUGUUGAACAGCAUCACCACAUAAUGCAUAUUUGCACCAAUCUUAAAAUUGGCAGCCGUUUUUGUUAGUUUUCUCCUGGUAACAUAUUUUACAUGUAUAUAUUGGAAAGAUUAUCUGGUUUGUAAUUAUGAAUAAAUACUGCGAUGGUGA